UUUUCUUAUAAUUUUUUUCUUACUUAGAUUUCAUUGACCAAUUUUUUUUACUAUUCAAGUUGUUUUGACAUAAGUUUUAUUUGAUAUUUUUACCCUUAUGACAUAAAAUGAACAACUUGCUCCAAUAAAUAUAUGUUUUUACAUUUAAUAGUUUAAGUAUUUAAUUUUAUGAUUUAUUAUGUAACAUUUUUAAAUGAAAUCUAAUAAUUUUUAAUACCCUACAUGUAAAUUAUAUAAAUUUGACGAUUUGAUAAUUUACAUGAGUAUUGUAUAAUAAAGACAUUAUGUUAGUUUACUUAAAUAUUAAUAAUCAUACGUAUUGAUACAUCAUUUAAACAUAAUAAAUUUUGUUUAAAAAUUAAAAAAAAAUUGAAGCUAAAGUAAAUUUUUCAUACUUUUGAAGGAGAAGCAACAAGGCAAGGGCAACUAAUUAUCAGUAAUCUCUGCAUUUACAUUAUUUAACUUUUGAGUAAACAAUGUUGCUUUCGCGAUAUUUUACAGUACGUGUCCCAUUUGUUGACCGUAGGAAUUGCCGUCAUCCAAUAUUCCCAUUGACUCUUACUUGAACUUUAUAACUUUCCCACAUAUCUUCAACAAAAAAGCAAACAAAUGAAUAAACCAAUAAAAUUGUAAAAUUGNNN
RNAcentral lists this long non-coding RNA (641 nucleotides) under Citrus x clementina. RNAcentral describes it as "Citrus clementina (C. clementina) long non-coding RNA (CCLE_LNC005318)". Lineage: Eukaryota; Viridiplantae; Streptophyta; Magnoliopsida; Sapindales; Rutaceae. The record is from RNAcentral.